RNAcentral lists this long non-coding RNA (373 nucleotides) under Homo sapiens (human). Its description in RNAcentral is "non-protein coding lnc-ATG12-3:1". The record is from RNAcentral. Lineage: Eukaryota; Metazoa; Chordata; Mammalia; Primates; Hominidae.
UCGCAAUGCCGCCCAAGGACGACGAGAAGAAGGACGCUGGAAAGUCAGCCAAGAAAAACAAAGACCCAGUGAACAAAUCCGGGGGCAAGGCCAAAAAGAAGAAGUGGUCCAAAGGCAAAGUUCGGGACAAGCUCAAUAACUUAGUCUUGUUUGACAAAGCUACCUAUGACAAACUCUGUAAGGAAGUUCCCAACUAUAAACUUAUAACCCCAGCUGUGGUCUCUGAGAGACUGAAGAUUCGAGGCUCCCUGGCCAGGGCAGCCCUUCAGGAGCUCCUUAGUAAAGGACUUAUCAAACUGGUUUCAAAGCACAGAGCUCAAGUAAUUUACACCAGAAAUACCAAGGGUGGAGAUGCUCCAGCUGCUGGUGAAGA